GCGGGGGAGAUUGCUUCGGUAAUUGACCUAGCGGCGGACGGGUGAGUAAUACUUAGGAAUCUGCCUAUUAAUGGGGGACAACAUCUCGAAAGGGAUGCUAAUACCGCAUACGCCCUACGGGGGAAAGCAGGGGAUCACUUGUGACCUUGCGUUAAUAGAUGAGCCUAAGUCGGAUUAGCUAGUUGGUGGGGUAAAGGCCUACCAAGGCGACGAUCUGUAGCGGGUCUGAGAGGAUGAUCCGCCACACUGGGACUGAGACACGGCCCAGACUCCUACGGGAGGCAGCAGUGGGGAAUAUUGGACAAUGGGGGGAACCCUGAUCCAGCCAUGCCGCGUGUGUGAAGAAGGCCUUAUGGUUGUAAAGCACUUUAAGCGAGGAGGAGGCUCUUUUGGUUAAUACCCAAGAUGAGUGGACGUUACUCGCAGAAUAAGCACCGGCUAACUCUGUGCCAGCAGCCGCGGUAAUACAGAGGGUGCGAGCGUUAAUCGGAUUUACUGGGCGUAAAGCGUGCGUAGGCGGCUUUUUAAGUCGGAUGUGAAAUCCCCGAGCUUAACUUGGGAAUUGCAUUCGAUACUGGGAAGCUAGAGUAUGGGAGAGGAUGGUAGAAUUCCAGGUGUAGCGGUGAAAUGCGUAGAGAUCUGGAGGAAUACCGAUGGCGAAGGCAGCCAUCUGGCCUAAUACUGACGCUGAGGUACGAAAGCAUGGGGAGCAAACAGGAUUAGAUACCCUGGUAGUCCAUGCCGUAAACGAUGUCUACUAGCCGUUGGGGUCUUUGAGACUUUAGUGGCGCAGCUAACGCGAUAAGUAGACCGCCUGGGGAGUACGGUCGCAAGACUAAAACUCAAAUGAAUUGACGGG
Molecule: ribosomal RNA, 859 nt
Filed under: Acinetobacter bereziniae
Lineage: Bacteria; Pseudomonadati; Pseudomonadota; Gammaproteobacteria; Moraxellales; Moraxellaceae
Description: bacterial SSU rRNA
Rfam family: Bacterial small subunit ribosomal RNA
Source: RNAcentral